AAAACGACUCUCGGCAACGGAUAUCUCGGCUCUCGCAUCGAUGAAGAACGUAGCGAAAUGCGAUACUUGGUGUGAAUUGCARAAUCCCGUGAACCAUCGAKUCUUUGAACGCAAGUUGCGCCCUAAGCCGUUAGGCCGAGGGCACGCCUGCCUGGGUGUCACGC
RNAcentral lists this ribosomal RNA (164 nucleotides) under Acer nipponicum. RNAcentral describes it as "5.8S rRNA". It matches the Rfam family "5.8S ribosomal RNA". From Rfam's summary of the family: 5.8S ribosomal RNA (5.8S rRNA) is a component of the large subunit of the eukaryotic ribosome. It is transcribed by RNA polymerase I as part of the 45S precursor that also contains 18S and 28S rRNA. Lineage: Eukaryota; Viridiplantae; Streptophyta; Magnoliopsida; Sapindales; Sapindaceae. The record is from RNAcentral.